Molecule: ribosomal RNA, 30 nt
Filed under: Phaseolus lunatus (lima bean)
Lineage: Eukaryota; Viridiplantae; Streptophyta; Magnoliopsida; Fabales; Fabaceae
Description: partial large subunit ribosomal RNA
Source: RNAcentral
GAGACCUCAGUCAUGAAGAACAGCAGCUGC